Molecule: ribosomal RNA, 597 nt
Filed under: uncultured bacterium
Lineage: Bacteria
Description: bacterial SSU rRNA
Rfam family: Bacterial small subunit ribosomal RNA
Source: RNAcentral
CCUACGGGAGGCAGCAGUGGGGAAUAUUGGACAAUGGGCGAAAGCCUGAUCCAGCAAUGCCGCGUGAGUGAUGAAGGCCUUAGGGUUGUAAAGCUCUUUUACCAGGGAUGAUAAUGACAGUACCUGGAGAAUAAGCUCCGGCUAACUCCGUGCCAGCAGCCGCGGUAAUACGGAGGGAGCUAGCGUUGUUCGGAAUUACUGGGCGUAAAGCGUACGUAGGCGGUUAUUCAAGUCAGAGGUGAAAGCCUGGAGCUCAACUCCAGAACUGCCUUUGAAACUAGAUAGCUAGAAUCUUGGAGAGGUGAGUGGAAUUCCGAGUGUAGAGGUGAAAUUCGUAGAUAUUCGGAAGAACACCAGUGGCGAAGGCGACUCACUGGACAAGUAUUGACGCUGAGGUACGAAAGCGUGGGGAGCAAACAGGAUUAGAUACCCUGGUAGUCCACGCCGUAAACGAUGAUAACUAGCUGUUCGGGCUCUACGAGCUUGAGUGGCGCAGCUAACGCAUUAAGUUAUCCGCCUGGGGAAGUCGGUCGCAAGNUUAAAACUCAAAUUGAAAUUGACGGCUGAGACGNGCGAGGACGACGACGAGGGAGGAGG